RNAcentral lists this ribosomal RNA (625 nucleotides) under bacterium SVAL1.9. RNAcentral's name for it is "bacterial SSU rRNA". It matches the Rfam family "Bacterial small subunit ribosomal RNA", at positions 56 to 691 of the family's 1533-position model. The record is from RNAcentral.
UGCAGUCGAACGGUGAAGGCGGGAGCUUGCUCCUGCCGGAUCAGUGGCGAACGGGUGAGUAACACGUGAGUAACCUGCCCUUGACUCUGGGAUAAGCGUUGGAAACGACGUCUAAUACCGGAUACGAGCUUCAGCCGCAUGGCUAGGAGCUGGAAAGAACUUCGGUCAAGGAUGGACUCGCGGCCUAUCAGCUAGUUGGUGAGGUAAUGGCUCACCAAGGCGACGACGGGUAGCCGGCCUGAGAGGGUGACCGGCCACACUGGGACUGAGACACGGCCCAGACUCCUACGGGAGGCAGCAGUGGGGAAUAUUGCACAAUGGGCGCAAGCCUGAUGCAGCAACGCCGCGUGAGGGACGACGGCCUUCGGGUUGUAAACCUCUUUUAGCAGGGAAGAAGCGAAAGUGACGGUACCUGCAGAAAAAGCACCGGCUAACUACGUGCCAGCAGCCGCGGUAAUACGUAGGGUGCAAGCGUUGUCCGGAAUUAUUGGGCGUAAAGAGCUCGUAGGCGGUUUGUCGCGUCUGCUGUGAAAACGCGAGGCUCAACCUCGCGCCUGCAGUGGGUACGGGCAGACUAGAGUGCGGUAGGGGAGAUUGGAAUUCCUGGUGUAGCGGUGGAAUGCGC